Molecule: ribosomal RNA, 253 nt
Filed under: uncultured bacterium
Lineage: Bacteria
Description: partial 16S ribosomal RNA
Rfam family: Bacterial small subunit ribosomal RNA
Source: RNAcentral
UACGUAGGGUGCGAGCGUUAAUCGGAAUUACUGGGCGUAAAGCGUGCGCAGGCGGCUUUGCAAGACAGAUGUGAAAUCCCCGGGCUCAACCUGGGAACUGCAUUUGUGACUGCAAGGCUAGAGUACGGCAGAGGGGGAUGGAAUGCCGCGUGUAGCAGUGAAAUGCGUAGAUAUGCGGAGGAACACCAAUGGCGAAGGCAAUCCCCUGGGCCUGUACUGACGCUCAUGCACGAAAGCGUGGGGAGCAAACAGG